GGAAGUGCUUGCACACCUGGUGGUGGCCCCGGUUUUCAAAACCGUUGGGAGUUGCGAUAAACGCGGCUCCGGUGGGUUCGAUUCCCAUGCACUUCCGCCA
Molecule: transfer RNA, 100 nt
Filed under: Planctomycetaceae bacterium
Lineage: Bacteria; Pseudomonadati; Planctomycetota; Planctomycetia; Planctomycetales; Planctomycetaceae
Also listed under: 4 other names
Description: tRNA-Sec
Rfam family: Selenocysteine transfer RNA
Source: RNAcentral